CAACGAGCUAGAGUUUGACUCCUGGCUCAGGACGAACGCUGGCGGCGUGCCUAACACAUGCAAGUCGAGCGGGGACAUACGACGGACAGGAAGUUUUCGGAUGGAACUGAAGACGUAUGUUCUAGCGGCGGACGGGUGAGUAACGCGUGAGCAACCUGUCCUUCACAGGGGGAUAACACAGCGAAAGUUGUACUAAUACCGCAUAAGACCACAACGGGACAUCCCGAAGGGGUCAAAGGAGCAAUCCGGUGAAGGGUGGGCUCGCGUCCGAUUAGAUAGUUGGUGAGGUAACGGCCCACCAAGUCGACGAUCGGUAGCCGACCUGAGAGGGUGAUCGGCCACAUUGGGACUGAGACACGGCCCAAACUCCUACGGGAGGCAGCAGUGGGGAAUAUUGGGCAAUGGGGGAAACCCUGACCCAGCAACGCCGCGUGAGGGAAGAAGGUUUUCGGAUCGUAAACCUCUGUCCUUGGUGAAGAGUGAGAGACGGUAGCCAAGGAGGAAGCCCCGGCUAACUACGUGCC
RNAcentral lists this ribosomal RNA (524 nucleotides) under uncultured organism. RNAcentral's name for it is "SSU rRNA". It matches the Rfam family "Bacterial small subunit ribosomal RNA", at positions 1 to 509 of the family's 1533-position model. The record is from RNAcentral.